GACGAACGCUGGCGGCGUGCUUAGCACAUGCAAGUCGAACGGAAAGGCCCUGCUUUUGUGGGGUGCUCGAGUGGCGAACGGGUGAGUAACACGUGAGUAACCUGCCCUUGACUUUGGGAUAACUUCAGGAAACUGGGGCUAAUACCGGAUAGGAGCUCCUGCUGCAUGGUGGGGGUUGGAAAGUUUCGGCGGUUGGGGAUGGACUCGCGGCUUAUCAGCUUGUUGGUGGGGUAGUGGCUUACCAAGGCUUUGACGGGUAGCCGGCCUGAGAGGGUGACCGGCCACAUGGGGACUGAGAUACGGCCCAGACUCCUACGGGAGGCAGCAGUGGGGAAUAUUGCACAAUGGGCGGAAGCCUGAUGUAGCAACGCCGCGUGCGGGAUGACGGCCUUCGGGUGGUAAACCGCUUUCGCCUGUGACGAAGCGUGAGUGACGGUAAUGGGGAAAGAAGCACCGGCUAACUACGU
This 467-nucleotide ribosomal RNA is filed under the name uncultured bacterium. RNAcentral describes it as "partial 16S ribosomal RNA". It matches the Rfam family "Bacterial small subunit ribosomal RNA", at positions 28 to 506 of the family's 1533-position model. The record is from RNAcentral.